UACGAAGGGGGCUAGCGUUGUUCGGAAUUACUGGGCGUAAAGCGCACGUAGGCGGAUGUGCCAGUCAGGGGUGAAAUCCCGAGGCUCAACCUCGGAACUGCCUCCGAUACAGCACGUCUCGAGUCCGGAAGAGGUGAGUGGAAUUCCUAGUGUAGAGGUGAAAUUCGUAGAUAUUAGGAAGAACACCAGUGGCGAAGGCGACUCACUGGUCCGGUACUGACGCUGAGGUGCGAAAGCUAGGGUAGCAAAUGGG
RNAcentral lists this ribosomal RNA (253 nucleotides) under uncultured bacterium. RNAcentral describes it as "partial 16S ribosomal RNA". It matches the Rfam family "Bacterial small subunit ribosomal RNA", at positions 524 to 776 of the family's 1533-position model. The record is from RNAcentral.